Long non-coding RNA from Manihot esculenta (cassava), 4120 nucleotides. RefSeq lists it as uncharacterized. The record is from RefSeq and is a predicted model, not a curated record. NCBI's taxonomy places the organism in Eukaryota, Viridiplantae, Streptophyta, Magnoliopsida, Malpighiales, Euphorbiaceae. The transcript is spliced from 4 exons.
AAGUUCUAAAAAAUAUAUUUUUUAAUUAUUUUUCUUAAAAUUACUUAUUUUUUCACCUUAAUUACACUACAUGUUUUUCGAAAUUUCAAGAAAAACAAAUGCAUCCAAAUAUAACAAAAUCAUGAACUUUAAAUUUUAGCUCACUUUAAAAGGAGCAUAACGGAGUCGGGUGCAUGUAGAAGAUUGGGCUUGGAAUCCGUUUAACAUAAACGUAAAGAGAUACAAAGAAAACUGGAGCAGAAUCCAAUAGACAGUUCUCCCUUGUCCUCUUAAGUAAGGAGAAAGUAAACCGGUAGAUGAAAACGAAAAGUAAUUUGAACUGAAGAUUGGUAGGGGCCGCGCGAACGCAGGCCCCCUCUGCAACAAAUUAUGACGUAGGCUCUCCCAACUUGGGGAGACCUUAGACCAGCACCCCUCCUAAGUGCAAUGGAGGUCACUGACCUAGGCCAUGGGCCUUCUUGAUCACCCAUUGACCCCGUCCAGGUAAGUAUGUUGUUUGUUGCUUCUCGCUUCUAAUAUAUAGCUGUCAGACUUCACUCUGUCUUUCAUUUCUUCGAUGUGGGAUUGUAGCUUUCUUUCAGUUUCAGACACUGCUUCAUUUUAUCCCCCCCUUUCUGAACACCUUCAAAUUGCCUAUUGACAUCAAUUCGUCCCCGAGCUGUGAAGGUUCUUAACAUGAAUCUGCAUGUUAAUGAGAAGAUUGAUGACUGAUUCAAUUUGAUGUGUUCAUGAGAAGUUGGGAACCAUAGCCCAUAGCAAGGUUUUGCUUCAUUUCAGUAGAAUCAUACGUUUUUAGUUGAGUGAUAUCUACGUAAUGCACAGUUUUGUCAUUUGUGUUGAGUUUCACUGUAAAAAAAGCUGAUUUUUUUACACACAUUUCAAAUAUUUCUUUUCAUCUUCUUGUAAAACAAAAACGGGGAGGAAACUAUUUAAUAAUGAGAUAAUUUAAAAAUUUUAUCAUGGGAUGAUAAUAAUUUUGAGUAUUUUUGUAGUGUUUGAUUUGUUUAAAUUUUAUUAAGAUGAAUUCAGGUUGUGUGUAAUUGGACUUUAAGAUGAGUUUGAAUGAAAAACUAAUAAUUUUUAUGUUAGAAUACUGAAUAUAUGAUUUAAAUAUUUAAAAUAUAAAUUAUAAUUAAUAAUUUUUAUAUAAAUUAUAUAAGAAUGGAGACAUGUAUAGGUAAUUUAUGAUGAAUUUUAGUUAAAUUUAUGCAUAUUUAAAUUAUGAUUAAAUUUAUGCUGCAGUUAUUCUGCUUUUUUUUUUUUGCCAUGCCUUUUACAGCAUUUGAAAUGCCCUCAAAGGGCUAUGCACUACAGGGGGAGUUUGAGAUCAUAUGCGACUAACCAGCCCAACUGGAGGCUGUUGUUGCCAUCUUUAGUGUCACUGGCCACAGCCUACAACCCAACAGCAGCAAAAGAAUAUUCAGUUUGAUGGUAUUCUUAUGGAAGAAGAAGAGAUUAUGCGACGAAUGGAGUGAACAUGAAUGAAAACAUUAAAGAAGGAUAUGUAAGUACUAACGAAUGGGCAUAGAGAGAAAGGGAGAUUUGGGAGGGAGAAAUGUGGAACGUAAUAACUAUGUUUCCUUCGAUGUGGUUUUAGGUGGAACAAGGUUCAAAGGUAGAGCUCCCUUUCUGGCUUGCUUAUGAGCCGUCUUAAGGCAACGUUUGUCAUUUAUAAUAAUCUGGUCCUAAAGCAUUCUUUUGUUUCAUAUUAUAGCGUGAGUAGAAGGGAGAGGCAUGACUGCAUAAUGGUUUGUAUGCCCUAAUGAAUGGAUUUGGUCAGUGGAUUAUGGGAUUCAAUUGAUUUUAUUUUCUAAUAUAAUUGUCUACUCAUUUAAUUCCCUGUUGAUAACAUAUGUUUUUUUGUUAUUAUAUGUUAGUGUAGUGAUUUAGGAUUAGACCAGCUUAUGUCAACUAACUUUGUUAAAGACUUGAAGUUCUCUAAGGAGGGUGCUUUUUACGCACAGAGUGAUAAUGGACUUCCUUUAGAAUCAUCUGAGGUGUAGGUCACAGCAAUGUCGUUCCAUCUAGAAGUAUAUUAAAAUGGUUUUUUCUUUUUUCAAUUUUGUCUUUUUUAUUGACAAUUUAUUAGCCUCAACAGGACCCGGUUGGAAAUUCAUGUUGAUGCUUUGUGGACCCAGUGUUAUCUAAUUCCUUACCCUAUUGCAUGGCUUCCAAUAUGCACGGUCUAAAAUGAACAAGUAUCUCCUGGUCAUGAGUGGUUAUCACUGGAUGGAUGAAUCUCUUGUUUCUCAUACUUGAACAAAGAUUAGCCAUUAUGGUCAAUUCAGCUUCAUGGAUGAAAUUGAUUCUUUUGUGAAGGAGUGAAGAUGAUUAUUGAUUAGAUAAUUGUACAAAAUGGUUGAACUUUUUUCCGGGUUUAUAAUGCAUUUAGCUGCUGAAUGGAGCAAAAUAGUUAUGGAGGAGAUGCUGAAGGAAGCUGAGUGGAGUAUAUCUCUCUCCUGGAAGUCCCAUUGCUGCUGAAUUUCCAGAGCUCCCCGUGUUAUCUUAGCUGCUGCCAAUGGAAAAACAACACAAAGUGCAUCUGAGUGGACAUUUCACAGGGAAAUUCAAUGGGAAUGAGUGGCAGUACCAUUUUUAUCAAUAUGUUUUUCACACUUCGGGUGGGAAUUUGAGAGGAGUUCAUUUUAAAAAAUCAAACAUGAAAACUAGGGAAUAGAAGUUGGGGGUUGGUCAGGAAUCCAUGGAGAAAAAUGAACUAGUAUACUUUUUCUAAUUCAAUCUUGUAAAGUGUUUUUAUGAACCUCAUUUUAUUUUCAAUUAUAUUAUAAUUUGUAUAGCAGUCUCUUGUUAGCGACAAAUAUGAAACUUAGUCUCAUUUGCCUUGGCAUAGAAAUUGAAAAAUCUCUCAAAGAGGUUUGAUUGAACACUUGAAAGCAACAACCAAGAAGCAUGAAAAUAUGUAAAAUUUACGAUUAGUCAACUUUUCAAUCCUCCGAACCACCAUAAACUUUAUAUUUCUAAAGGGAUCACAAUGCUGUAGAUAACACAUUUGAAGCCACUGUAUUAUUAUAACAAAAGAUUAGAAACUCCAAAUUUAAACUCUGAUAGAGCUCUUUUGUUGCAACGAGUAUAAUAAAGUCCGGGCUAAAUAAAGUCUUGGGCUAAAACUAUGUUUAAUCAACAAAAAGGAGCAACGCUGGCAGAACGUCUGAAAAGCUUGAAAGAAAUCGAACCAACUGGUUCAGUCCUGCUGCGAACCAGAAAAAAGGAGUUCAGCUGAACCUACAUGAAAAUGUUUGCACUGAAGAUAGUAGGGGCCGCGCGAACGCAGGCCCCCUCUGCAACAAAUUAUGACGUAGGCUCUCCCAACUUGGGGAGACCUUAGAACAGCACCCCUCCUAAGUGCAAUGGAGGUCACUGACCUAGGCCAUGGGCCUUCUUGAUCACCCAUUGACCCCGUCCAGGUGUAAUUAUUUUUGCAAAAUUGUCCUGCUUGUUGCCAUCUCUAGUGCCACUGGCAGAGCCUACAACCCAAGAGCAGCAAAAGAAUAUUCAGUAAUCACAUGCAUGAAAUUAAUCUCUAGACGUGUCUCCUGGUCGUGCGUGGUUAUCACUAGAUGGACGAAUCUCUUGUUUCUCAUACCCUCAACAAAGAUUACCAAUUAUAGCAAUUCAGGUUCAUGGAUGAGAUUGAUCCUUUUGUGAAGCAGUGAAGAUGAUUAUUGAUUUGAUAAUUGUAUGAAAAUGGUUGAACUUUUUUCCAGGUUUGUAAUGCAUUUAGCUGCUGAAUGGAGCAAAAUAGUUAUGGAGAAAAUGCUGAAGGAAGCUGAGCGGAGUGCAUAUCUAUCCUGCAAGUCCCAUUGCUGCUGAAUUUCUAGAGGACUCAUGUUAUUUAGCUGCUGCCAAUGGAAAAACAACCUCUGAGUGGACAUUUCACAGGGAAAUUCAAUGGGAAUGGAUGGCAGUACCGUUUUUAUCAAUACGUUUUUCCCAGUUGGAGAAGGAAUUUGAGAGGAGUUGAGUUUACAAAAUCAAACAUGAAAACUAGGAACAAGUUGUGAGUUGGUCAGGAAUCCAUGGAGAAAAAUUAACUAGGAUACUUGCCUGUAAAGUGUUUAUGGACCUCAUUUUAUUUCCAAUUCUAUUAUUUUUGUAUAGC